Molecule: ribosomal RNA, 429 nt
Filed under: bacterium
Lineage: Bacteria
Description: partial 16S ribosomal RNA
Rfam family: Bacterial small subunit ribosomal RNA
Source: RNAcentral
UGGGGAAUCUUCCGCAAUGGACGAAAGUCUGACGGAGCAACGCCGCGUGAGUGAUGACGGCCUUCGGGUUGUAAAGCUCUGUUAAUCGGGACGAAUGGUUCUUGUGCGAAUAGUGCAAGGAUUUGACGGUACCGGAAUAGAAAGCCACGGCUAACUACGUGCCAGCAGCCGCGGUAAUACGUAGGUGGCAAGCGUUGUCCGGAAUUAUUGGGCGUAAAGCGCGCGCAGGCGGAUUGGUCAGUCUGUCUUAAAAGUUCGGGGCUUAACCCCGUGAUGGGAUGGAAACUGCCAAUCUAGAGUAUCGGAGAGGAAAGUGGAAUUCCUAGUGUAGCGGUGAAAUGCGUAGAUAUUAGGAAGAACACCAGUGGCGAAGGAGACUUUCUGGACGAAAACUGACGCUGAGGCGCGAAAGCCAGGGGAGCGAACGGG